RNAcentral lists this long non-coding RNA (875 nucleotides) under Cavia porcellus (domestic guinea pig). RNAcentral describes it as "lncRNA (ENSCPOG00000039660.1)". The record is from RNAcentral. Lineage: Eukaryota; Metazoa; Chordata; Mammalia; Rodentia; Caviidae.
CAGCAGCAGCAGCUGAUGAUGAAGAAGAGAGGCUGUUGCAGAGGGGGGGCACCUUUUAUUUCUAUUUUUAAAGGGACAGGACACUAAUUUUACCCCACUUCAACCUUGAAUUAAGGGGGGUGGGGGAGGAAGGCGGCUCAAUUCCUUCCCCCACCCUCCAGCCCUGAGCCCUGAGAGGGGUAUUGAGCCUGAGAGAGAAGGGGAAGGAGUUUCUUCUUCUUCGAAAACCCCCAUCCACGACUCCUACCCUCACACCCCUCCACUCGCCUCCCUCCCGAGCCCCCUCCACCCUCCUUCUCUUUGGCCGUGAGAGGAGGAGAGAAAGAGACCAAAAGCCUCUUAGCAACACAGACCUUUUGCUGCUGCUGCUGCUGUUGCUGCUGUUGCUGCUGCUGCUGCUGCUGCUGCUGCUGCUGUUGCUGCUGCUGCUGCUGCUGCUGCUGCUGCUGCUGCUGCUGCUGCUGCUGCUGCUUGGCCCUGGCUGGAGACAUCUCACUACACCCAGGAGCAGCCACUUCCCCAGCUCUCCUCCUCCUUCUCCUCCUCCUCCUCCACUCCCCCCCCCCCUUUAUUACCCUUUGUGUCAUCCUCCACAGCUCCAGGGAAGGCACUCUAAAGUGGGGGGCAGGAAAGAUGAACAUUGGCGAUGACAAUUUCUGCACUUGUGAAGGAUAUUCUGAAGGCUUUAUGGUUUACACACAAGAUCUUUAGAAAUUAGACAGUAAAGGACCAAGUAAAUAAAUACCAGAAAACAAGAGCACAGACUGUUUUUCUUCAUCAGUCCACAAAAUCCUAAUACUUCUGUAAUUCCAUACAGCACAGAGGAAUGAACACCUUGACAGAUGGCCACAGAAGAUGUCAACAAUUUUUUGGAG